GACAGCAGUAGCCGCGGUAAUACAGAGGGUGCGAGCGUUAAUCGGAUUUACUGGGCGUAAAGCGUGCGUAGGCGGCUUUUUAAGUCGGAUGUGAAAUCCCUGAGCUUAACUUAGGAAUUGCAUUCGAUACUGGGAAGCUAGAGUAUGGGAGAGGAUGGUAGAAUUCCAGGUGUAGCGGUGAAAUGCGUAGAGAUCGGAGGAAUACCGAUGGCGAAGGCAGCCAUCUGGCCUAAUACUGACGCUGAGGUACGAAAGCAUGGGGAGCAAACAGGAUUAGAUACCCGAGUAGUCCCUGUCUCUUAUACA
RNAcentral lists this ribosomal RNA (306 nucleotides) under uncultured bacterium. Its description in RNAcentral is "partial 16S ribosomal RNA". It matches the Rfam family "Bacterial small subunit ribosomal RNA", at positions 507 to 808 of the family's 1533-position model. The record is from RNAcentral.